UAUUGUCUUUGCCCUGACUGAGGCCGAACUCAUUAUUGUCACCCUCCAAGCAGAUAACACAGCACUCACUCGCCGCUCACAUCUCUCAUUUCUCUUGGUGUGGUCUAGCGAAGGGUUGAUUUCUCGACGGAGACUCUUAGAUCUCUCUCUCGGUGUGGUCUAGCGAAGGGAUGAUUGUACGUCCUCCCUGCGCAGCUUAGAGGCAAAGCCGAAACCAGGUGAUGGUCUCUCUCUCUCUCUCUUGCCAUCACACUGUAUUUAUGUGCAAACGCCAAAUUUUCUGUAGCCAUCCGACAAAGAUGGGACUUUGCUUAUUUCCAAGAACCAGUUAGUUCAACCGGGUUUCUAUCACCACGGAACCCUAUCUAUGAGUGUAGCUGAACUCAGAUUGUUCUGGAGGCAAACUCUUCUUCGACAAAGAUGUUUAUUCAGAGCGUACUCUGGUGCUUCUUCGGCAUCAUUGUUGUAUGAACACGCGUUUGAUUCGAAUUUUUUGUUCCAAAAUUCCGUAUCUGAUGUAAGUAAUGUUCCCGGUGAAAAUUCAUAUGCCACCACGGAGUGUAAGUUGUUCCCAUUGGUAGUUCGAGUGUUUCAUUCCUUGAGUUGGAGAAGUGCAAGGGAGAUACGGUUCCCAGAAGCCGUUGACAAGUAUGGAUUUCAUCGAUCUAUGCACGCAUUUGGGAUUAUGAUACACAUCUUCUCAUCAGCAGGAAUGCGCAGGGAAGCAUCUGGUCUCUUGAGGGAGGUCGUGUUCUUUUAUAAGGAAGCCAGUUAUGACAUGUUUGAUUUGCUCCCCACAUUGAUGAAUUUAUCGGGGGAAGAACAAUCUGUCAUUGUUUUUGAAGUACUUAUGAAUAUUUUUGCAGAGUCUUUGAUGCUUGAGAAUGCAGUUGAUGUAUUCGUGCAAGCUAAGAGCAUUGGGCUCGAGCCUCAUGUGUCCUCGUGCAAUUUCUUGCUCAAGUAUCUGGCUGAAGGAAAUAGAGUAGAAUUCCUUACUAGUUUAUUUGAUGAAAUGAAGAACUAUGGGCCACAUCCUAAUGUUUACACUUACACUAUUUUGAUGGACUUUUACUGCAAAGGAGGUCUUUGGCAGGACAAGGCAGAUAUUAGGCGAGCUAAUGAGAUCCUAGUGGAAAUGCAGAAUUGUGCUGUGCGUCCAACGGUUGUCACAUAUGGCACAUAUCUAUAUGGAAUCUGUAGAGCUGGAGAUGCAGACUUGGCAUUAGACUUCCUCCAUGACUUGAGAAAUAGAAAUCAACCUCUCAAUAGUAAUUGUUACAAUGCUGUUAUAUAUGGUUUCUGUAAAAAAGGCGAGGUGUACAAGGCUACAAGGGUUUUGGAAGAAAUGAAAAGUGAUAAAAUAUCACCUGAUGUUUAUAGCUACAGCAUUUUGAUAGAUGGGUUCUGCAAGAAGGGAGAUGUUCUAAAAGGUUGGAAUUUACUGAAGGAAAUGGAAAGCAGUAAAAUAAGGCCUUCCAUAGUUACCUUUAGCUCAAUUUUGAAUGGUCUAUGUGAAGGUGGACACAUGGAAAUUGCACUAGACUGGUUCUAUAAGCUCAAUUCUUCUGGUUAUAAGCAUGACCAGAUUUCUCACAACAUAUUAAUUAAUGGAUAUUGUAAGCAAGGGGAAUUGGAUUCUGCCAAUAGAAUUCUAGAAGAAAUGUUCAGACACAACUUACCCCCUGAUGUUAUCAAUUGGACCAGUUUGAUCCAUGGUUAUUGCAAGAUAGGGUGCUUGGAGAAAGCUUUGGAGCUGUUUAAGUUUAUGCUUGAUGGAGGUAUACUACCUAACACUGUGACCUGUACUGUUAUUGUUGAUGGGUACUGCAAGGAAGGGCGUGUUGAUGAAGCUUUUAAACUUAUGGAUGAAAUGCAAGACCAAGGUAUUAUUCCCAACUUGUUUACCUAUAACACAAUCAUCAAUGGACUGUGCAAGGAAAGGAAAUCUGAGCGUGCCUGGGAACUUUUCCCUUUGAUGCUAAAGAGGGGUCUAGUUCCUGAUGUUGUUAUUUAUAGUACCCUUAUUGAUGGUUUUGUCAAACAGUCAAACCUAAAGGAGGCUUUAAAGUUGUAUGCAAGGAUGUCAAAAGAUGGGAUCUCACCCAAUGCCAUCACAUAUACAAAUCUGAUCAGUGGAUUGUGCAAUUGUAGCAAGGUGUAUGAUGCCCUAAAUUUGUUCAAGGAAAUGAUUGGAAAGCAUUUGAUGCCUGACAAAAUUGCUUACACAACAAUUAUUGCUGGGUUUUGUAAAAUUCGAAAUAUGAACACAGCUUGGCAACUGUUCACUGAAAUGAGAGAAAGAGGCUUUUCACCUGAUGUUUUUACUUAUACCUGUAUAAUUGAUGGGUUUUGCAAAUUGAAUCAGAUGGACAUUGCUCUUAUGUUGGUUGAUGAAAUGAUACAAGAGAAUGCCACUCCCAAUGAGGUGACUCGCACUUCUCUUCUCAAUGGGUGCCGCAGAUUACAUGAUCUGGAUAAAGCUCGAGAGGUUUACGACAAGAUGAAGAAGAAAGGUAUCUUGUUAGAUGGUCCCAUCUGACACUAGGGUUUGGUAGUGGCAAGAAUGAGAAAGGUUAGUCAGUCAACUAAAUGACAUGGAGUGAACCAAACAUUUGUUUAGAACUCUCAGCCUGAUGAUGAGAAAAAGACACUUCCAAUUAGGGCUUGAUUUUGCUGGGAUGAGAAAGGUUAGCCAAUGAAAGGCUAUGGAGUGAACCAAACAUUGCACAAACCUCUUAAUUUAAUUUAUACUUGCUUCUGCGGUUCUAAGAAUGAUUAUGGAAUGAUAGCUUACUUUCAUCUCGCUUGCUUCUGGCUAUGAAUAAAAUUAUAAAGAUGGAUGAAGUUGGACUAUUCUGCCUGAGGAAUCUUGAUGGUCCCAAUGUUUAUGGUUGGCAAAUGGGUCAUGGGUCUGCUGUACUCCUGCACCAGAAAUACUAAUUGAAUAGUCCCAGAAAUCCAGAUUCUUAACGUCAUGACUUGGAAUCAUCAACUCCAACUGGUCCUGAUGUAUUUUAUGUUGCAGGAGAGGGUUAUGAAGGUGAUUUUAUUUAUCUUAUCACUACAAUUGGAUGUACACCGUCCUUUCCUCAUUAUUACUACCCCAACUGCUCUUUCUGUAUGGGAGGCCGACUUCUUGCGUUUGGCACCUUGUUUCAAUGUUGUGGUCUACAAUGAGAGCAAAGAUAUCAGGAAGAGUAUAUGGUCACUAGAAUUUUAUGAGGAAGGUGGUUGCAUAAUGUUCCAAGCACUUUUAUCACUGCCAGAGACUAUAGUUGAGGAUUUAGAAGCAUUGGAAUGCUUGGGAUGGGAGACUAUAAUAGUUGAUGAGUGCCAACAAAUUAGAGUGUCGAAGCACAUGGAACAAAUUAAGAUGCUAACAACUGAUUUUAGGCUUCUUGUUGCUAGUGGUCAAGUAAAGUGCUGUGAUCAUCCCUAUCUUGUAGAUCAGUCUUUGCAAACUUUUCUCACAAGAGGUCUUCCAGAGAUAGAGUACUUAGACGUUGGUGUGAAGGCAAGUGGGAAGCUACAACCUCUUCAGUCAAUUGGUGGAUCUGGACGGAAUUCUAUUGGAGAUAUUUUUCCUGCGCCAUAGAUUUGGUGCAGACUCUUAUGAACGUGUUGAUAUUGGAUUGCUCAGUUCAAAAAAGCAAGCUGCCUUAAAUAUAUUUAACAAGGAACAGGGGAGAUUCAUUUUCUUACUAGAAAAUCGUGCUUGUCAUCCAAGCAUUAAACUUUGUUCUGUUGAUACUGUUAUUUUAUUUGGUAGCGAUUGGAAUCCAUUAAAUGAUUUAAGAGCCCUACAAAGGAUCUCAAUUGAUUCACAGUUUGAACAGUUAAAAGUAUUCCGUUUAUAUUCAUGUUGCACUUUGGAAGAAAAGUUCUAAUUCUGUCAAAGCAAGAAUGCAAGAUAUGACUCUUGAUAUCAAUGUGCAGAAUAUAAACCAUAGUACUAGUCAUAUGCUGUUCAUUUGGGGUGCAUCCUAUUUGUUCAAGAAAUUGGAUGAAUUUCAUGGUUGUACAACACUAGCAUCAGAGUCAAAUGUUUCUUUUGAGCAGUCAAUCAUGAAUGAUGUGGCUGGGGAACUGCUGAAGCUGUUACCUUGUGAUAAUGAAGACAACGAAACAUGAAACUGCUCUAUCAUUGCAAAAGUUUAGCAGAGUAGAACAACCUAUUCUGUAGAUAAUACUUUACCUGGAGUCAGAAAGGCAGUUGUUUGAUGAAAUCCCACAUGUAUUUUGGGCAAAGAUACUGGAGCGAAAGGAACCUCAGCGGAGAUACUCCUCUUGGUCUACUCGGAGAAUUCGGAAAAAAGUUCAAUAUUUUGAGGAAUCACCGAAAAAAGCUGAAGUUGAAAGUGAUGAACUUAUAAAGAAGCGCAAGAAGGUAGUCAACAACAUGAUUGAUCCAAUCUUGCUCAGGCCUUGGGUAGAAGAUAAGAGAAAAGAAACUCCUGUGGGGAAGUAAGGAGGAUGUCAAAGGAAUGGCUGCAAGAUUUCUUGAAUACAUAAUGAACAAUCAUCAUGUUCCUAGAGAACCAGCAACCAUGUUACAGGCUUUUCAGAUAUCUCUGGUUAGUGUCUUCCUGUAUUACUGUGCUCUAGCAUUCCAUUCUUGUGUUGGGCAAACAUCUAAUGAUUGAGUUCACUGGUUCGAAGUAUGCAUUCUUCAAA
This is a non-coding RNA of Nelumbo nucifera (sacred lotus), 4674 nucleotides long. The record is from RefSeq and is a predicted model, not a curated record. Lineage: Eukaryota; Viridiplantae; Streptophyta; Magnoliopsida; Proteales; Nelumbonaceae.